This 73-nucleotide transfer RNA is filed under the name Schismatogobius marmoratus. RNAcentral's name for it is "tRNA-Asn". Lineage: Eukaryota; Metazoa; Chordata; Actinopteri; Gobiiformes; Gobiidae. The record is from RNAcentral.
CAGAUGAAUGCUCGCUGGUUGGAGCGCUUAGCUGUUAACUAAGAGUUUGUAGGUUCGAGGCCUUCUCGUCUAG